Peromyscus eremicus (cactus mouse) is the source of this 2901-nucleotide RNA transcript. It is a transcript of the gene named sperm motility kinase X-like, with no coding region annotated. Lineage: Eukaryota; Metazoa; Chordata; Mammalia; Rodentia; Cricetidae. The record is from RefSeq and is a predicted model, not a curated record. The transcript is spliced from 6 exons.
CCUGUGCAUAUAACACACUGCCUAGGGCUGGGUUUUGUCCUUCUAGUACAGAGAGCUGUUAGGUGGUGAUCUGUGGGACUUGGAUGUUGGUAAAAGUUUUGGACCUGGAUAUCGGUGAAGUUUUGGACUCGGAUGCUGGUGACUUCUUGUACUUGACAGAUUGGUCUUGGUACGAGCAUUUAUAUCGACAAAGAUGAGGAAGUGGGAAAUGGCUCAAGGCAACACCCUACAGUACAACUCCUUUGACGAAGAGGCUUUAACAGAGCACUAUCAAAUCCUAAAGACCCUUGGUCGGGGAGCAUUUGGAGAAGUAAAAUUGGCUAGCCAUCUACUCACCCAGACAAAGGUAGCAGUAAAAGUUCUCCCAAAAAGCUCAAAGAACAUCUUCAUCAAAUCAGAAAUUGAAAUAAUGAAAUCUCUAGACCAUCCCAAUAUCAUUAAACUUCUUCACAUAAUCGACACCACAAAAAACACUUACCUGGUUAUGGAACAUGCCAUAGGCGGAGAGCUGAUGGCCAGGAUUGUGGAGUUUGGCUACCUACCUGAGGACGAGUCCCGUAAGGUAUUUAAACAAAUGGUGUGUGCCCUUCAGUAUUGUCACAGGAAAGGGAUUGCUCACAGGGAUCUAAAGCCUGAAAAUAUUUUAGUGGACGGCAAAGGAAAUAUAAAACUCAGUGAUUUUGGGCUGGGCACCAAGCUUCCCAUGGGGCAGAAGCUAGCAUAUUUCUGUGGGACCCUUCCUUAUUGCGCCCCAGAACUCUUUGAAGGUGGAGGCUACGAUGGCCGAGCAAUCGACAUCUGGAGUUUGGGAGUUGUACUCUACUUUAUGUCUACAGGGUGCCUCCCUUUCAAGGGAACUACCUUUGGAAUGCUAAAGGACAAAAUCUUGGCAGGAAAGUACCCCGUUAAUUUCAAGCUGUCGCCAGAGCUUUGGGAUGUUAUUGCUAAGUUGUUAACCGUAAAUCCUGGAGAAAGACCAAGAAUAGGUGACGUUGUGGGCUUUCAAUGGCUGAAGCAUGGCAAUGAAGGUUCUCCCAAUCCCUUUAGAGAGAACAAUGAGGACAGCUACCCAGACCCCACUGUGAUGGUCAUCAUGGGCGUCAUGGGUUAUAAGCAAGGAGAGAUAAUGGAAGCUUUACGGGAGAAGAAGUAUGAUCAAGUGAUGGCCACCUACUUGAUUCUUAGGCAGCAGUCACCCUGGGAAGAUGACAUUAUAAAACAUCUUCGGCCCAAGCAGUCUGCUGGAACCUUGAACCUUACAGGCCUUCCCACAAUACCUAAAGUGACUAUAAAGAGGGGAUCUAGUGUCCCUAUCCUUCCCACUUCUUCCAUUUUGCCCACUCUACCUGAGAGUCCCGAGAAUGACAAAAAGGGGAAAACGAGGUACAGUAUGCCUCCCACCGUGAACUGCCCUGACAAGAAAACAGCCCCAGUUCACAGAAUCUGCCCCCAGCGUGUACAUGAGGCUACUUUCAUGAACAGCGCCUGGGGGGAUUCAGAGAGCACUAUUAACACCUCCGAUGAAAUAUGUACCACAGUGUCUUCAGCACUGGAAACUUAUUCCAGCAAGUUAUCCUGGAAUGUGUCCAAAGCUGGCCCUAACAAAUCAAAGAGCAAGGCGUCCUCACAGGAUGUUUUAUCUCAUCACACCCCAAUGGAGGAAGUUCAGUGCCAAGACGUCAACACACCAGGUGAAAUUAUUGGCUCAUCUCUCCCACAAACCUCACCUCAGGAGGACCUCAGAGGACAGCCCCACAGAGUGGCUACAGCUAGUCGGAGAGGUGAAAGGACCAGGUCAUCUCUCCUACAACCAGCACCUCAGGAGGACCUCAGAGGACAGCCCCACAGUGUGGCUACAGCUGUUUCAAAGAACAACAUGACCUCACAGGAUAGAUCACCCCCAUUCUCCAGCAAGGAGGCCCAGGAUGAGGGUCUCAUCGUACAAGAAAAAGACCUCAGCCCAUCCUCCCCAGAAACAUCCCAGGGACACCUCAGUGGCCGGUGCCAGACUGCACCCAGAGCCCCCUUUAGAAAGCGGAUUUGGAAGAGCCUACGGAGAAGGAUUAUAAAAGGCCUGAGAAGUUUAUGCUGCUGCAUACCAACAGAAAAGAGGGAGCGUCUAGGCUGCAACAAAAUCCUGCCUGUGACCUUAGAGGGCCAUGGAGGGAGCCAAGGUAACAGUGCUGUUGGAGGCACUGUGCUCCCCCUAAGCUGAAACCAGAGAAUGGGGAGCAGCAUGCUGAGGAUGCACACGGGCGCUGGAGAGAGCCAGGUAGGUUCAUGAUGGCUGGUGGUGCCACAAUUGUGCCAGUAAAGUGAAGCACUCUGUGGGACCAGAAGUCCUUUAAACAAGGAUCCACGGAGUGCUGUGAUCAUUAGGAAAACAGGCCUCAGAGGACCUUCCAUGCACAGUGUGAUCGUCAUUCCAGCUACCUGUCUCCAGGUGUACCUGUGAGCCAUUAGAAGAGACAUCGGCACCAGAAGCAGAGGAGGACCCCAGAGGGCCUGCCCAGUUUGUAUGUGUUCACGAUGAAUAUUGCUGACCAGGUUGGAGCCAGACACAGAGGGACGAGUUUGCAGGGAGUGUCCAUCUUGUGCUCAUUUGGGAAGGUAGAGUGUGUGAGAACAGGUCUCCUUGAUAAAAGAGGCUUCUUCUGAUUGACAGAGAAGUUGGGCCAGAGACUCACAAGCAGAUGGACUAAAGAGGAACAAGGGAAAAUGUCUACUGAUCCAGGUGAAGAUCAGCCAUGGAGGAUAUGCUCAGAGAGCUGGGCAUAAGAUUGCUCUGCAGAAGUGUUACCAAGAAAGACAGGCACCAGACAAAAAGAUAUACGGCACAAAUAGCUGAAUAAAGAGACUGUUUUCUUGCUACAAUAAAUUCCUUUGUAUAUUUGAACCACA